AGACGUCUACAUUAGAUACCCCCGUAGUCCCAGCCGUAAACUAUGCGCGUUAGGUGUAUCGGUGACCACGAGUUACCGAGGUGCCGAAGGGAAACCGUGAAACGUGCCGCCUGGGAAGUACGGUCGCAAGGCUGAAACUUAAAGGAAUUGGCGGGGGAGCACAACAACGGGUGGAGCCUGCGGUUUAAUUGGACUCAACGCCGGACAACUCACCGGGACGACAGCAAUAUGUAGGCCAGGCUGAAGACCUUGCCUGAAUCGCUG
RNAcentral lists this ribosomal RNA (264 nucleotides) under uncultured archaeon. Its description in RNAcentral is "partial 16S ribosomal RNA". It matches the Rfam family "Archaeal small subunit ribosomal RNA", at positions 714 to 982 of the family's 1478-position model. The record is from RNAcentral.